UGGGGAAUAUUGGACAAUGGGCGAAAGCCUGAUCCAGCCAUGCCGCGUGUGUGAAGAAGGUCUUCGGAUUGUAAAGCACUUUAAGUUGGGAGGAAGGGCAUUAACCUAAUACGUUAGUGUUUUGACGUUACCGACAGAAUAAGCACCGGCUAACUCUGUGCCAGCAGCCGCGGUAAUACAGAGGGUGCAAGCGUUAAUCGGAAUUACUGGGCGUAAAGCGCGCGUAGGUGGUUUGUUAAGUUGGUUGUGAAAUCCCCGGGCUCAACCUGGGAACUGCAUUCAAAACUGACUGACUAGAGUAUGGUAGAGGGUGGUGGAAUUUCCUGUGUAGCGGUGAAAUGCGUAGAUAUAGGAAGGAACACCAGUGGCGAAGGCGACCACCUGGACUAAUACUGACACUGAGGUGCGAAAGCGUGGGGAGCAAACA
This 427-nucleotide ribosomal RNA is filed under the name uncultured bacterium. RNAcentral describes it as "partial 16S ribosomal RNA". It matches the Rfam family "Bacterial small subunit ribosomal RNA", at positions 355 to 774 of the family's 1533-position model. The record is from RNAcentral.